GAGAUUUCUGAAGUUGAAUGUAAAUAGGGUUUUUUUUUUAAUGAUACUUUGAAUUAUAGAUUCUUAAAAUGUAGCCUGUGCUAGUGUUUAUUAUUUUUUAACUGAAUAGAAGUUAAUAUAUUAUCUUUCAAUGUUUUACUUUAGUAUUAACUAGUCAAAGAAAAUUUUCAGUAUUAGAAAUGCUGUUCUUCAGUUUCUGUGUGAUCAAUGUGGUUAACAUUUCCAUUCAAUUUAAAUAUAGUUGCAUAUUUAUAAUUAAUAGAUAUUUAGUAACGUUCUGAAAUAGUUCUUUCUCUGAAGCUUGAAUUUGUAUGAAUCACAUAGACUAAGUGUCUAGUGUCCUAUGUUCCUUCAGAUUUAAUAUGUAAGAUAAAAACGAGAAAUGUCUAAUUAGAAGCCAUUGGUGUUUGCUUCUCACUUUGUACCUUUAAUUUUUCUUCAGAAAAGGUCGUUUUUAGUAAUUUUUAAAAAGAUUCAUUUUUUAAAAGUUUUAUGUGUGUGUAUAUAUAUGUGUAUGUGUGUAUGUAUAUAUAUGUAUGUAUGUAUGUAUGUAUGUAUGUGUGUGUGUGUGUCCCUAUUAAAGUUUAUGUGUACAAUGUGAAUGUACAAAAUAGUGGAGGUCGGAGGAUUUCAUAUUCUCGGGAGCUGGAGUUUCAGGCCAUUGUUAGCCAUCUCAUAUGGUUCUGGAAACUGAACCAGGGUCUUCCUCAAGAGCUCUAUGUGUUCUGAUUGCUGAACCAUCUCUCCAGCCCCAUUUAAACAGAUUUUUUUCCUUCACAUUAAAGAUACUAGGAAAAUACUAACUAUAGAAGUGAGAAGAGACUGGAAAUGAUGGGUUAAUGUUGCUCACAGGUAGUAUCUCAGAAAGCAGAACUCAGUAGCCAGUUACAUCACACACAUGCAUGGAUGCAUGGAAACUCACACUGCUCAGUAGCCAGAUAAAUCUCUCACAUGUGUGGAAACUCACACAGCUCAAUGGCAAGAUAUUCCACUCACAUGCUUGGAUGAAUAAAAACUCACAUAAUGCGUACCGAGAUACAUGGAAAUUCAUGUACUUGGAUACAUGGAAACUUAUACAUCUUUUUUUUACUUGUUUAAAAUUUUUUUUGAGAAAGGCUCUUAUUAGCACAUGUUGACUCAAGGCUAAAUAUGUAAGUAUAGUUCAGACUGCCCUCUAACACGGGACAAUCAUUUUGCCUCAGCUUCUGAAGUGCUGGUAUUGCAGGUAGGACCUACAACACCCAAAGAUAUUCUUGAUAUGAAAACAAACUGAUGUAAGUACUACUCUUAAGAAUUUGGUAGUUUCUUUUAUUUUUUAAAAUUAUACUUUUUUUUUUUAAAUUGGAGGUUCAUUUAGUGCACUUGUAGAGGUCAGAGGUCAACAAUUUGCCAUAACUUUCUUUUCUUUUGGAGAUUGAAGUCAGGCUAUCAGGCCUUCGUCUGCUGGGCCAUCUAUCUCACCAACCCUAGUGGUUUCUUUUAAAGUUAAAAGAAAUUGAGAGUCAUUGACUUUGUGUUCUCUAUCACUUUAGAAGUUUCUUUCAGAUGAUUUUUUUGGGGGGGGUGGGGCUUGAGACAGGGUUUCUCUGUGUAGUCCUGGGUGUCCUGGAACUAGCUCUGUAGACCAGGCCGACUGGCUUUGAACUGGCUUCUGCCUCUUGUGUGCUGUAAUUAAAGACAGGUGCCACCACCGCCUGGCCUUAUAGUUUAUUUUUAUAAUUUGUUCUAUCUAGGUCUAAAUGUUUCAGAUUCACUUCUGAAAUAGGAUAUCUUAAGG
Molecule: long non-coding RNA, 1777 nt
Filed under: Mus musculus (house mouse)
Lineage: Eukaryota; Metazoa; Chordata; Mammalia; Rodentia; Muridae
Description: long non-coding RNA chr1:10068815-10070592
Source: RNAcentral